RNAcentral lists this long non-coding RNA (4534 nucleotides) under Nicotiana tabacum (common tobacco). Its description in RNAcentral is "long non-coding RNA (NTAB_LNC004077)". The record is from RNAcentral. Lineage: Eukaryota; Viridiplantae; Streptophyta; Magnoliopsida; Solanales; Solanaceae.
AAUAUUUAAACACAAUCCACAAGUCUUGCAAAUACCGAUACAAACACUCCCAAAACUUGGUGUUACUGAGUACAUGAUCAUCUAUAUAUUACAAGUCUCUAAAACGUGGUCUAUAAUAAUCUGAGACCAAAUACAAUAAACAAAAGGAUAGGGAAGGAGAGACAAGGUCUGCGAAAUAUGACAGCUACCUCUGAAUCUCCAGAAUAUCGACUGUGUAAAAGAAUCAACACCCACUGUAUCCAGGAUCACCUGGAUCUGCACAUGAAGUGCACGGUGUAGUAUGAGUACAACCAACUCGGUAAGUAACAAUAAUAAAUAAAGAACUGAAAGUAGUGACGAGCUUCUUAUCUAAGUCCAAAUACAAUACUUUCUAAUAUAAAAGAGUAGACAUUCUCUCAAGUUCAACCUUUAAAAUUUCAGUGAAAUUUCAUAUCAUGUUUGACCGAAACAGAAAAUAAUAUUUUUCCGAAAUUUCCAAAAUAGUGAUAUAUGACAGCUAAAAUGCAGCAAAUAAUGGAAUCAAUGCAUCCUCUUAGAGUAUCAGUCACUCAAUCCUCCCAUUCACUCCAAACUCACAGUCACUCUUUCCUCACAGUCGCUCAUUCCUAACAGUCGCUCAUUCCUCAUAGUCACUCUUUCCUCACAGUCGCUCAUUCCUCACAGUCACUCAUCACUCGGCACUCAGUAGGUACCUGUGCUCACUGGGGGUGUGUACAGACUCCGGAGGGGCUCCUUCAUCCAAAGCGCUAUAACAAGCCAAUCAUGGCAUAUAACAAUGAAACAUGCUGCGGCGCGCAGCUCGAUCCCAUAAAUAUUCUCACAAUUAGGCCCUCAGCCUCACUCAGUCAUCAACCUCACUAGUCUCUCGAGCUCUCAGAAAUCAUGAUAAGCAGCCCAACAACAAUGAUAUGAUGUAUCAAUAAUGAAUAAGAGAGAGUGAGGCAAAAAUGUGCAAAUAGAACUGUGACUGAGUGCAAAACAAUAAUUUAGCAGAUAAUUUCACAAGUACACGACCUCUAUGGGUCCCAACAUUGUAAACAUAUGAUUUAAACAUGAUUCAUAGAUCAAUUUCUCUAAUAAGGGGAAAAUAUACGGAUAUCAACGGAUUUUUCAACUACACAGUUCCAUGGAGUUGACCAAGUUAUAAUUGCUACGGUGAACGCCCACACGCCCGUCACCUAACAUGUGCGUCACCUCAAAAUCAAUCACAUAAUACAUAAUCCGGGGUUUCAUACCUGCAUGACCAAAUUUAGAACUGUUACUUACCUCAAACCGUGUAAUUCAUUAUUCCGCUAUGCCUUUGCCUCGUGAAUUGGCCUCCAAAUGCCUUGAAUAUAGCCACAAAUAAUUCGAUUCAGUUAAUAAAAAUUGUAGGAGUUAAUUCCAUAUGAAAAUACAAAUUUUCCAUAAAAUUCCGAAAUUUCAUCCAAAAAUCACCCGUGGGGCCCACAUCUUGGAACCCGACAAAGGUUAAAAAAUACGGAAGCCCAUUCAACCACGAGUCUAACCAUAAUAAUUUUACUAAAUCCGACCUCAACUCGACCUCCAAAUCUUCAAAUCUUAUUUUCAAAUCCCCGAUUUACACCUCAAAAAUACGUAAUCUAGUCGGAUUAUUCAAUGAUAAUUCAAUAUUAUGGAGUAGAAAUGAUCACAAGUGACUUACCUCAAGAUUUCCCGUGAUUUCUCGCUCAAAUAUUGCCUCAACCCGUGUUUGGAAUGUCCAAAAAUUGAGAAAAUUAUUUUUCUCAUUUUCGUUUAUAUUUUAUACUAACCAUUUGCAGGUGUUUAAUCGAAGACACCAAAGGAUUCUUCAAACACAUAGUCCUUAGGACUAAAAGCACGCGUUGCACUCUUUUUCCCUUAGACCGGUUUUUGUCCUAAAUGUGUUUUUUCGACGAGGUUUUUUACUAGGCAACCAUUGUUCGUGCUAACUUAGAGCAAUUCAACAGUAUCCGAGGCUCCUUUACAAUCAACCUCGAAUAUUGGGGGGUAUCACCCUCAGAUAAUUACAAGGAAAAUACUUCAUGUCGACAGGGUCUCGAUAGGUAAAGGACCAAACGGUCAAAUGAACCGUGUCCAUGUAGAUUACUCGAGUCCUAAUGGCAAAACAUGUACGCAUGUAUAAUCUAUUGAAAGAAAUAUUUUUCCUUACCAGAUGUUCCUUGACUUAGAGAAAUUUAUACUUUACAAUUUCAUACGUAUGAUCUAUUGUGGAAACUGGCUUAAGGGCAGAUCACAACUGAAGUUCAAAUAAUUUACCCUAUACUCGGGGACUGCCGUCCAAAAAAUCGACAUGAUCGAAUAACUAAACCUCGAAAUCGUAAGACCUUAAAAAGGCAAUCCUCGAUUUUAUAGGCCACGACCACCUCACUCGAGGACUGACACUUCGAACGAGUUCGAAGUAUAGCAGGAAAACAAGCCUAAGGGGCAAAUCCCAAACUAAAGGCUACGGCCAAAUUAACACGGUUCGGAGACGUCCGAAUUCCGUUAUAAAACAGGCCUUCAAAUAUUCUCAUAAACCGAUUAAAAAAGGCAACCCUCGGCUGAAUUACUAAGGGUCUCGAUAAUAUCGACCCUCAAAAAACCCUAAGGGGUAGCGAAUUGUUCGAACUCCCGGACAAUUUUGUGCUAAGGCAUAACAAAGCAAAGGAUUUCGAUAACACCAAUCCUCGAAAAACCUAAUGGGUACAAAUUUAUCUCGUGCUAAGGCAUGACAAAUUUUUAUGAUUAAUUUUUCAAGACGAGGGGGAAAAGCCAUUCUUUUGAGGCCAUAUCGGCCUAAUUCAAGAGCCUAAAGGCCAUUUUAUUUUUUGAGUUCGAGAAAUCGUCCUUACUCAACUAAAACUUAAAGGUAACUCUACUUCGAGUUCGAUCAAGUACUCACUCGAUUUUAAAGACUACACUGAUCCGACUUCGGUCUACUUGCCUAAAGUCCCAAACUUGUGAGCAAAAUCUCCAUAAGGCAUGAAUGCAUGAAUGAAAUAGAAGUUUCACGAGGCAGGAAAUAAAAUAAAGAUAAGUCAAAGAGAAAAAAGAUCUUUUAUCUAUACGAAAAUAUUUACAAGGACCGAUCAGGGUCCCGCACAAAUAAUCAAAAAAGAAAAAGCCUAAGAUUCCUAAUUUUCCUUAUGGGCAACUUCUUCUCCAUCGAUGUCCUCCCCAUUCUCGGACCCGCUCUUGCUGCCAUCAUCAUCAUCGGAAAAGGCCAGCGCUCUAGCAUCAACUUUAUGCUCUUUAGCCUUUAUUAUCUCGUCGGUAAGAUCGAAACCUCGAGAUAGAUCUCCUCGAGGGUUUCCCUUAGAGAUUGGCAUUUGGCGAGUUCAGCAAUCCAAUGUGCUCGAUUUUGAGCGGUCUCGGCUGCCUCUCUCGCUUGAACUUGAGCGGAUUCAGCAUCAGUCCGGUAGACGGCCUCAAUUGCCUAUGCCUCGUCCUUUGCCUUUUCGGCUUCAGAUUUGGCCUUUGCAAGUUCGGAAGACAACCGAGCCUCGAGCUCCUCUAUUUUCUUUGCCUGAGCUGGGAUCUUCUCCUUCAUGCCUAGAAGCUGACUUUCGAUCGCUGACAAUUGGGCUCGAGCAACCUCUUUUUUAACAGCAAAACGGUCCAUACUUUCUUUCCACCCCAAGGUCUCCGCCUUCAUCAUGUUGACCUCCUCGCAGAACUGCUCGAUCCUCUCGACCUUUUGCUGCAGCUGUGAGAUUGAAAUGUUAUCCAUCGUUACCGAAUCAAGCCCAUGAGCUUUUAAGAUUUUCAUUACCUGCUCGAUCAGGUAGGUCUGAUCUUGGUGAGCCUUGGCCAACUCGACUCGAAGGUCCUUGAUCUCCUCUUCUUUUUGCCCACUGACAAGUUUAAGGGCAUUUCUCUCCUCCGUGAGCCCUCGGAGGUCGGCUGUCACGCCCCAAACUCAGGGAGCGCGACCGACGCUCAACUGAGAGAACCCAGCCGGGCAAGCAUAUUAGACUUACUUCUACCCAAACUCAUCCAUGAAUAAAGAGGAGAUGUACUCCAUUAAUCAAUCACUGAAAAGAUUUUAUUAACAACUUCCUUUUCAUUCCCAUUAGUAGCUUCAUUCAUAAUUUCCAAAACAUUACGAGUUUAUAGAAUUAAUGAAUAAUAUAAUUUCCAAGUACCAACAUUUCUAAUUCAAUUUCCAACAUCAACCAUAACCCACAACCUGUCUACAGAGCCUCUAAAUGCAAUAGAAAAGUAAUAUGGAAAUGCAGGCAACAAGGCCCCGGCUAUACCUCAAAAUACUGUACAUGAGAAGCAAAAGAUACAUGACCCCGAAAUGAAGUGGGGCUCACCAAAUCAGCUGAAAAGAGUGUACUGCUAUCACUGAUCAAUGCCGCUUGCUGAAGAAUCACCUGCAUCCAUUAAAGACAGCGCCCCCGGCAAAAGGGACGUUAUUACUGUCGAAUAACACUAGUAUGUAUAGCUAAAAAUCCUCUUUCAAAAUAGAAUGCCCAUAUAAGAAAAGGCAACAUAUAGAAACAACAAGUCACAAUCAACAAUAUCCAAACGUCCAGUUAAAACAUAA